GUUAUAGGGUCAAGCGAACAAGUGCAUGUGGUGGAUGCCUUGGCGAUCACAGGCGAUGAAGGACGCGGUAGCCUGCGAAAAGCUACGGGGAGCUGGCAAACAAGCUUUGAUCCGUAGAUGUCCGAAUGGGGAAACCCACUCCUUUUGGAGUAUCCAUGGCUGAAUACAUAGGCCAUGUGAAGCGAACGCGGUGAACUGAAACAUCUAAGUAACCGCAGGAAAAGAAAUCAACCGAGAUUCCCAAAGUAGUGGCGAGCGAAAUGGGAUGAGCCUUGCACUCUUUAUUUGUAUUGUUAGCCGAACGCUCUGGAAAGUGCGGCCAUAGCAGGUGAUAGCCCUGUAGGCGAAAACAGUAUGAAAGAACUAGGUGUGCGACAAGUAGGGCGGGACACGUGAAAUCCUGUCUGAAGAUGGGGGGACCAUCCUCCAAGGCUAAAUACUCGUGAUCGACCGAUAGUGAACCAGUACCGUGAGGGAAAGGCGAAAAGAACCCCGGGAGGGGAGUGAAAUAGAUCCUGAAACCGCAUGCAUACAAACAGUCGGAGCCUCGUAAGGGGUGACGGCGUACCUUUUGUAUAAUGGGUCAGCGACUUACGUUCAGUAGCAAGCUUAACCGUAUAGGGCAGGCGUAGCGAAAGCGAGUCCGAAUAGGGCGUUCAGUUGCUGGGCGUAGACCCGAAACCAGGUGAUCUAUCCAUGGCCAGGAUGAAGGUGCGGUAACACGUACUGGAGGUCCGAACCCACUAACGUUGAAAAGUUAGGGGAUGAGCUGUGGAUAGGGGUGAAAGGCUAAACAAACCUGGAAAUAGCUGGUUCUCUCCGAAAACUAUUUAGGUAGUGCCUCGUGUCUCACCUUCGGGGGUAGAGCACUGUCAUGGU
RNAcentral lists this ribosomal RNA (879 nucleotides) under Burkholderia cenocepacia. RNAcentral describes it as "bacterial LSU rRNA". It matches the Rfam family "Bacterial large subunit ribosomal RNA", at positions 1 to 919 of the family's 2925-position model. Lineage: Bacteria; Pseudomonadati; Pseudomonadota; Betaproteobacteria; Burkholderiales; Burkholderiaceae. The record is from RNAcentral.